GGUGGCUCAGUGGUAGAGUGCUUGCCUUGCAUGCAUGAGGCCCUGGGUUCAUUGCCUCAGCACCA
RNAcentral lists this transfer RNA (65 nucleotides) under Dipodomys ordii (Ord's kangaroo rat). It matches the Rfam family "tRNA". From Rfam's summary of the family: Transfer RNA (tRNA) molecules are approximately 80 nucleotides in length. Their secondary structure includes four short double-helical elements and three loops (D, anti-codon, and T loops). Further hydrogen bonds mediate the characteristic L-shaped molecular structure. tRNAs have two regions of fundamental functional importance: the anti-codon, which is responsible for specific mRNA codon recognition, and the 3' end, to which the tRNAs corresponding amino acid is attached (by aminoacyl-tRNA synthetases). tRNAs cope with the degeneracy of the genetic code in two manners: having more than one tRNA (with a specific anti-codon) for a particular amino acid; and 'wobble' base-pairing, i.e. permitting non-standard base-pairing at the 3rd anti-codon position. Lineage: Eukaryota; Metazoa; Chordata; Mammalia; Rodentia; Heteromyidae. The record is from Rfam by way of RNAcentral.